This 2186-nucleotide long non-coding RNA is filed under the name Marmota monax (woodchuck). The record is from RNAcentral. Lineage: Eukaryota; Metazoa; Chordata; Mammalia; Rodentia; Sciuridae.
GUGUUUGCUCUGCCUUGAAGAACCGAGUUCUGUUUGUUAAAGUUCUCUUAAAUACGGGAAAUCAUGUUCCUUGCCCUGGUGAACGUGCUUUUGCUUCCCAGAUAAAAGACCCGACCUGUUGCCAGGUAUCUAAGCAGCCCCAUGCAGCUCUCAGCUGCCAGCACCGUCCUGCAGUUUGCAAGGCUGCUUUCAGGCCAGAACAGGGAAAUGUGAAGUCUCCCAAAAGUGCGGACCUGCAAUCUAGCUAGCUGGUGACUGGAUGGGAGCUGCAUAUGAGUUUUAGAAUAUGGUGAUUAAAUUUCAGGACAGGUUUCAGGGUUCUUUUCAUGUGAUCUCAUUACCUGGACUCUUUACCUGUGAUGUCAGAGAGGAAGGUGGGACAGUGGCACUUUGGGGUAGGGGAGCAGCUCACCAGGACAGAACCAGCUACCCUGGGAGAUGUGCACAUCUUCUUCUACAGCGAGAGGAGACAUGGAUAUCCUUGGGACCAGUUUGCUUCUGAGUAGCAUUCCCUGUGUCCCAUAUACUCACUUAGUUUCCCUGUUUGGUGGUGGCAAAUACAUUUUUGAUGAGUCCAUACAAGUUAGGAAGGCACUUCUAAUUAGGAGAGAGUAGAUAAUGUUUGCAAAUGACCUUGGGUGCCUUUUAGUUUUAUUUUUAAUGUUUCCCUCUGUUAGUGGGGAAAGGAUUAACAUAUGGCAAACCCUUGAAGUUCUUGGAGUUUAAAUUCAUCCAUUCUCUUCUUGUGCAAGUGAUUGAGGUGAUACUUGUGGGCUCAGGAGCCAUGUUCUAGUUCUAGAUUACUGCUAUCUCAGCAACUAGGGCAGCUGAACCAAAAGCCUCAGAAGUCCUAUUCAGUGAUGGUAAACAUUUGAAUGGAUGAGCAGAGGAGCAUGUAUAUAUUUAGAAACUUAACACCCAACAGAGAAAGAACCUCUGGGUGAGCCGGCUUGCUCAUCCCUGUGCCAGGUCAGACACACCCAAGGUUACAUCCUCUUCUUCCAUGAUAAGCUGAAGUCACUUCCUUCUGUACCCAAGGCUGCCCACACCCAGCUACUGUUUCCUGCCCUGGAUCAAGAAGUACAGGUCACUCCCCUUAUAGCCUCUUGGUGGCUUAGGCAUCUCUGUCAGCAUUCUGGGUUCUUUUGCUUCUGUCCCUUAGUCUCCUCACAAUUUGGUUGUCAUCUCGCUUCUAGAUCCAGAGCUUGUCUUUGAGUUCCUGGCUUCUGCUUGGACUUCUUGUCUUAUAGACUCAGAGUUCUUUCAUUGCUCUGCAGCCACCAGAAAUUUAAGCCCUGGAGUGCUGAUUUAGAACUGUAUGAUCUCCUGAUAUCCUUGUUCUUCUUGAUUUUUACUCCCUUGGUCCCUGACUCCUUCUACUUCUGUCUCAUUAAAAAAUCUAGUUUCCGACCUGGGCAUAGUGGUGUACUCCUAUAAUCCCAAUGAGCUGGCCCAGGAGGAUGGCAAGUUUGAGGCCAGCCUUAGCAACUUACUGAGGCACUAUGUAACUUAACAAGACCCUGUCUCAAAAUAAAAGAAGGGCUGGAGAUAUGGCUUAGUGGUUAAGAGUCCCUCGAUUUAAUACCUGGUACACACACAUACACACACACACAAAUCAAAUCUUAUUUCUUACAAAUUAUUUCAUAUUUCAACAUGCAUUUAUAAAUUCCAAAUAUGUUUUCAGACUUGGUUUUACAGAACAUAAAACUUGACAAAUAAGCUUGAGAGUUUUGAAAACAUGUAUUUCAUUUACAUGGCAUUAAAUUUUUAUAGAUUAACAUCUCUGUCAGUUAUUAAAACCCAGAAAAUGCUCAGAAAUGUAUGUGUGUCUUAGAUUUCAUCAGCAGAGGUAGAAAGUGAUAAAGCUCUAUUGGUAGUUGGGUAUCAACCCAUUUGGAUAAAAGUCCAUUUUCUCCUAAUUGCUAAAUUUUUCCUUCUUUUUCUUGUUAGCCUUAUUUAGUUAUAUUUUUAUUGAUGUAGAAUACCCAUAGAAAAGAGUGAAUAAAUUGCAUGUGUUCGGUGCAAAGUAUGCACAGUGUGUAACUAGCACCCAGAUCAAGAAAAGAAACAGCAUUUCCAGCCCCAAGAAGAUACCUCACAGUUUUAUCCAAUGACCACCCUUUCAGGGAUGGCAUUGUGUUGCCUACUGAUGUCACAGGUUAGUUUCGCCGCCUCCUAUGUGGUCU